Long non-coding RNA from Gorilla gorilla gorilla (western lowland gorilla), 19022 nucleotides. RefSeq lists it as uncharacterized. The record is from RefSeq and is a predicted model, not a curated record. The transcript is spliced from 3 exons. Lineage: Eukaryota; Metazoa; Chordata; Mammalia; Primates; Hominidae.
CCUCCCAAGUAGCUGGGACUACAGGCAUGCACCACCACGCCCGGCUAAUUUUUGUAUUUUUAGUAGAGACAGGGUUUUGCCAUGUUGGCCAGGCUGGUCUUGAACUCCUGAUCUCAAGUGAUCUGCCCACCUCAGCCUCCCAAAGUGUCCUGCAUUCUUAAUAUUGCAGCACACCUGUGCAGUGUCUUCAGUGUCAUCCCAGCCUAAGGAGCACACUUGGGGAGAAGGUGGGGCUAUAAAAAUGUACUCAAGUCCAUUAGAUUUGCAGCAGCUGUGCAAAAAUCUCAUUUUAAAUCCGAAAAUACAUACAAUCUUACAUUUACAUUAAUACAUGAAAGAAAAUAUCACCUUUUCUUCCCUAGAAGGUGAUCAAAAUUUGCCCCAAUUUUGGUUAUUUGUGGAGUCUUCAUUGUUAAGCUGUUUUCCUCCACCUUGAUUAUCAUUUCUAAACUCUGUUAAGAUCUCAUUGAACAUUAUUAAUUUGGAAUUCACAAUAAUUCAUAUGUGGGAGUCCAGGUGAGAGCUGUGUUGCCAACUUUCAAUGUGCAGUCAUUUUUGCAAGAGAAUUGCUGGCAGUCCUAGAGAAAUUUGUAAGUGCUUAGAAGAAUACAUGUCAUUUAAUUCAGACUAAUUUGCAAUUGGCACAUUAGUUAUUUAUGACACUGAAAUUCAUGGAGAUUAAGAUUUGAUUAGCUUGUUAAUGCUGCAAAACAGUUAAAAUUUUAGAAUAAUUAUUUAUUUAUUGUUUGUGAGGCACACUUGUUCCCCUAAUCUGUUCUCUCCUCAUGCAUGUGGCUUACCAGGCAGCAACUGUUUCCCAGCCCUGCCUCCAGCAAGGCGUGGUCAUGUGACUAAGCUUGGACCAGUGGUUGUGAACAGAGGCAAUGGAUGCAACUUGACUACAGAUCCUCACAACUCUGAGAUAAGCUGCUUUUCUACUCGCUGCCUGUUUUUCCUCUCCCGAGCUGGAAGUAAGGUGCACCAGUGUUACCCAUGCAGAUAAGGACUAUACCUCAGGGAAUGGCAGAGCAAUAGUAUGGGAGGACAUUAGGGAGGAGAGGUGCUCUGCCAACUGGAGCUGACUGGACUGUUAGUGAAAUAAAUUGAAGCCAUUGUGUUGUGAUGUUUUAGUUACAGUAACCUAGUUUAUAAUCUGAUAGAGUAAAAAUCCAUGAUAAUGCUAAUAUGACCUGGCAUAAUUCAAAUGUAGGUGGAAUUGGCAAUUGCUGUUUCUUAUCUUCCCUUUGCCCCUGUUCUCAAUCUGAAGUGGGCUAAUUUUUUUUUUUUUAUUCGAUGGAGUCUCUGUUGCCCAGGCUGGAGUGCAGUGGCACAAUCUUGGCUCACUGCAACCUCUGCCUCCUGGGUUCAAGUGAUUCUCCUGCCUCAGCCUCCCAAGUAGCUGGGAUUGCAGGCGCCCAUCACCAUGCCCAGCUAACUUCUGUAUAUUUAGUGGGGACAGGGUUUCACCAUGUUGACCAGUCUGGUCUCGAACUCCUGACCUCAGGUGAGCCUGCCUCAGAGUGCUGGGAUUACAGGUGUGAGCCACCACCCCCAGCUAGAAGUGGGCUAAAUUCUUACACAGGGUUGGUUUUGGGGACAGUUAGGAAGUGCUUGCUUCAUGAUCAUUCGGGACUUUCUCAGGUCAAUAUUUUCAAUAUUGUCCCUUUUAUUAAUUUAUUUUGGAGACCAUACAGACAGAAAAAUAAUAUUUUUCUUUCCCUCAUAUGGCAACUUCACAACAUGCCCGCUAAUUCUUUUACAUUCCUUCCCUGGAGAGGUAGGGUCUGUCUCCCCUUGAUGUUGGGCUGCUCUUUAUUACUUGUUCAUAUCCAAUUAAAUGCAGCAGAAGUACAAUUCAGCUCCCAGUUGGCUUCCUUGGACUCUUGACCAGUGUAAGGAGUCUGACUCCCCCAGGAAGUCAUGCUAUGUAGGAUCCCAGGCCAUAUGGAGAGAUCACAUGUAGGCUCUCUGUUUGAUGUCCCAGCUAAAGUCUCAGUCAACAUCUAGCACCAAUUUCCAGCAUCUGAGGGCACCAUCUUGCAUGUCCAGCCCAGUUGAGCCUUCAGAUGACUGCUGCCCCCACCAACUCAUGGCAAUCCUGGAACAAUAGUAUGGAUAGUUCUUGCCCAAGCAAGAACUAUCUAGAAGAGGCCUUCCAAAAUUCGUGACCCAUAGAAUCCAUGAGCAUAAUGAAAUAGUUUUACAACACUAACUUUAGGCAGCAAUAGUACCUGGAACACCUCACUAUUACACCAUCACACAUGUUACAUGGUUGAAUCUUGGAUUCCACUUAAACAUCUUGUGGUGGAGCUUUCCCGUCAAUGUUGUUUUAAGGGCAAGGACUUUACAUACAUUAUAAUACCUUAUUUAAUCAUCACAGCACACCUAAGAUGUAGAUACAAUUAUUAUUCCCGCUUUACAGCUCAGGAAUAUUGGGCGUAACCGCCCAAGGUCACACUGCUCUUAAUUACUGUGCUUUCUAUUGUCAGUGCUGGAAAAUGAGAGGCUUCAGGAGUCAGAAUUUUAGACUUUCAUGACAUACUUGAACUGACCUCGGUCAAUUCCCUCCUAUUGUGGUUACACAGCAGAAUCUGGGCAUAAGGAAAUUCAGCCAUGGUAUGCAUUAGUAAUUGACAGAGUAAGGUAGAAACAUAUUUCUCUAAGUGUGUGUGCUAGCCACUGUGCUGCUCUGCAAAGUCAAACCGUUUUCAACUCCUUAAAAAAUUAUUUGGUAUAAACUGUUAUUUACUGAGUAAGCAUGAUGCAUUUCUUUAGAGGAAAAGAAUGAAUCUAUAUUUAGCAUAUACCUAAACCUAUAUUAAAAGCAUUAAAACUAUAUUCAAGAAUACAUUUAUUUAAGAAUCUGUGCUUUAAAAAAACCUACAUUUUUGAUUUCAUUGAAUAAGACUUCUAAGUUGUGAAUUGAAAGCAUUCUGUUUUAUUAUUAAUCACCACGUUUGGUGUUCCAAUCUCAUAUACCAUUCUUACUUGGGGUAACGUGUCUCAGACAUGUUGCCCAACCCUAGUUUACUCAUUUUCUAAACAGCAUCGGCAAAUGUGGAAAAUGAGACUACUUAUAAAGGUGAGAGAUUUUAGCUUUUCUAAAAAGAUUUUUGUAAUGCUUAGUGCCAGAGAAUGAGAAUAUUAAAUUGGCAGUAAAUAGAGUAAAUGGAAACUAUUUUAACAUUUAUGCUUGAAACACGACUUCAGUUCCAAGACAUUUUUUCUUUUUCUAAUUCAAGUAAAUGAAACCUAUUUGGAUAAUUCAGUAAUUUAUUCUUUUUAUUCAUCUUGAAUGUUGGGGGGAUUUUCCCUAGAAAUAAACACAAAUAUAUAGAGUAGGUAACAAUUCAGUAACAUAAAAUCUAAAACAAAGAGCUUAUUCAGUGAUGGAUAUUGUUGUAUGUGAUUUACAUGUGCAAACUCAUUAAGUCCUCACCACAACUCUAGGAGGUAGAUAAUAUAUUGUCCCCAUUUUGUAGGUGGGGAAACUAAGGCAUAAAGAAACUUCCAUAGUUACUAAGUAGCAAAAUUGGGGUAUGAAUUCAGGUAGUUAGGAUUCUAGGUCUGCACUCUUAACACUGCACUAGCAGUUCUUAAAUUUUUGGGCCUCAGAUCCCUUUCACACUCUUUAAAGUACUGAGGACUCUGAUGAGCUUCGUUUUUGUUGGUUGCAUUUAUUGAUAUAUAUAUGGUAUUAGAAAUUAAGAAGGAGAAAAUUAAAAAAUGUUUAACUCAUUUAAAAGUGAUAAAACCAUUGCAUGUUAACCUUAAUAUAUUUUUAUAAAAAACAACGAUGUUUCCUUAAAAAAAAAAAACUAUAGUGAGAUGAGUGGGUUUUUUUUUUGUUACAUUUUUGCAAAUUUCUUUAAUGUCCAGCUUAACAGGAAACAACUGGAUUUUCAUAUCUGCUUCUGCAUUCAAUCUGUUGUAUAAUACAUGUCACGCCAACCCUGGAAACUCCAUAGUCUUCUGAUAGGAGAACAAAGGCGAAACAGGCAAAUAACAUAUAAUUAUUAUUACAAAAAAUGCUUUGGCUUUGCAAAGCCCCUGAAAGGGUCUUAGGGACAUCCAGCCAUCCUGGGAUCAUACUUUGAGAAUUAUGGCACUACACUUUACCGCCUGUGAGUACACAGGGAGAAUGUCUUGGUUGAAUUUUAAGUGUCCCUUAAGAAACAGUGUUUCUUCAAGUAAAUCCCAGCCUGCUGUGGUAGAAGGAGCAGAGGCUGAGUAGCCAGAGACUGGGGUGCAACCCUAGUUCUGCGCAUGGGAGUUCUUGACCUUCACUAAGUUCUCUCCAUCUCAGGUUCCUUAUCUUUAAAAUGAGGCUCAUUACCAGUCCCUUCCAGGGUCAUCCCAGGCUUUCCAAAAAAUAUGUGAUAAGGUGCCUAACAGGUGCUGACACAAAAGGAUGUCUGACCAAGUGUAGUUUUUAUUUCAGAUAGACUAAUGAUGGCCAGGGAGGAAGGAGAGGGGCCACGACCAGCAAAAAGGGAAGGAGAAGAGAGCCACCAAGGACAGAUCCACAGACUCUCAGCUAGAAGCCUUUCAAGCCAGGUGUUUAGAGACUCAGAUGUUCGGACUUUUAGGAAUUUAUUGGGGUGCAUAUACUGUAGAUACUGUCAGACCUCCAUAAGACUUGGAGGACCAUCUGAUAAUCAAACACAUUUAUACUUCUAGAGAGGGACGUAUUCCACUCAUACCGAGGCCUAGAAAUAGCCUUCUGUCUGGCCAGGUUUUGAUGCCAAAGGAUUUACAAAAAAUAUUUCAGUGUUCAGAACUCCGGGAUUUGGGACUGUAGAUGAGGAAUUGUGGACCUUAUUGGGCUUCUGUGCCAGCACCAAGCUAGGGAUUGUGCCCACGCCCUUUCAUUUCAUCCUUUCAACUCCAUGAGCCAGAAGCAAACAUCUAAGGAUCUAGAGAGAUCUUUGCCUAGUAUUUGCCUUGCAAUCAACUUUAGAGGACCUCAGGGUUGGAGCAGUGGCUUCUGGCUUUCUGAUUAUGGCUGUUGCCUGCAAUUUAAAGUCCUAAUGUUCAUUUUGUUUGAAGAGGGAUGGAGGAGGAGUUAGACACAUGGAGUGUGUGUGUGUGUGUGUGUGUGUGUGUGUGUGUGUAUGUGUUUCAAGAUGAACUCAAUAGCAUCAACAAAUAUCUUAAUGAGGGUACAGAAAGUUUAUAUUUAACUUGUUGAAAAUUCACCUAGCUAUGAGCCUAAUUUCCUGAAGAAUAAAUGUAAGGUGAGAUGAUAUGUUUUGGAUACCGAUAAGAUCCAUUACCUGCUACGUUUAUAGGGAUAGAAAUUGAACAAAUGGCAACAUUUCAAAAUCUGCCAAAAAGAGCCCCAACUGAUUGUUUUCAUGUUUAUAAUCUCCAACUUACAGAAUUUCACAGAGGAACAAGCCGUAAAGUUGCCUGAAGAUAAGUCCUGGCUAUGAAUUAAUGUUGAACAACAUGAAAAGAUUACAGGUACUUGGAAAUAAACUUCUGAGGAACUCAUCAGAAUUUCAAAUUAUGCAAGUAUUAUGAUAAUACUUGAGAAUCUCAAAAUCAUUUCAACUAUCAAUUUCUGUGGGAUUUUAUAAUAAUUUGCAGCUUCAAUGACAAAAUAAUUUAAAAUAAUGUUUUCUAACUCUACCUACACAAUUAUUCUGACUUUAUAGGAAAUAAAUUGCAUUUAUUUGGACAUCUGUACAUGUCACACACAUUAAUAGGUAUUUUGUUGAUUCCAACUUAAAUACUUAUAUAUUUCAAAAUUGUAACCUCUUUAAGUUUGUCACUGUCACAAACUUGGCUUCAUGGUACUUCAAAUGUCCUCUCCCCAGCCAAAAAGCAGAAAAUGUUGUCUGUUAAAAGGCAGGGAAGUAGAAAAAUAACUUUUUAUAAUACCUGUCUCCAGUUAAGUAGAUAUGGAUGCUCUAGUGAGUUGAGAGGACUUGAUUUUUCUCCUUUCUCCUCCCCUCCCCUCCCCUCCUCUCCCCUUCCCUUCUUCCUUCCUUACGUUCUUCCUUCCUUCCCUUCUUCCUUCCUUCCCUUCUUCCUUCCUUCCUUUAUUCUUUCCUUCCUCUUUCUUGUUAUUUUACCCUUCAAAAGUGGGUUUUAAAGUUUCUAUAUACAAUAAAUCACUGCUACUUUAUUGCGUUUAUCAUCUAGAAUUCCUUCAGGAAUCACAAUUACAAUCGCAACAAUCAGUUGAACCCAAGGCUUCUCCCAGGAUUCCUGGUAACUAGGGUGUGUCAGUAAAGCUGGGCUCAUGGAUGCCUAUCUGACACGCUUACUGUGGACAUGAACUCAACCACUGCACAUGCUUGUAGUGGAUGCGGUGGUGUGCAGCUCCCAUCUCCCCUCCAGGACUCAGGCACUCAUUCGCCCGGCUGCCAGGAGUGCUGGCUUUUGUUGUCUCACAGAUGAGUCUGUCUUUGGGAAUCCCUCCCUUAGCAGAAGAGAGCUGCCCUGCCCAAGGCCCUACCCCCUCUGCAGUUGGGGUUUGGGGGGCAGCACGCAUCCUGUGGCUGGCUGGCCCCUUGCCUUGUCUAGACAACUCUGACAGCAGUCCAUGGGAUUGCUGAAGGCCUUUAUUGCAACUGAAUCAUAAUUCAAUUUCUCCCUCUAUGGAAUCCUUUUUCUCUUCUUUAUAGGUAUUGAUCCUAAAAGCACUCCCCAGUAAAAGUCCUGCAUGUAAAUCUCCACCUCAGACCCUGUUUCUCAGGUAAUCAUUCUUAAAACCACUGGUGCUAGGAAUGGUCCGAGGAAGGAGACUCUAAAAUGGAAUCUGGAACUGGGUCAUCAGCUGACCAGCCAGCAGGGAGGACACCAUAACUAGGGGUGGGUGGGUGGAUUACCUACAGCCCCUGGUAGGCUGUAACUAUGCAAUUGUUGCAACAUUCGCUGUGAUGUAACUGCUGGAAGGCAAUGCAUUGGCAAGUCUAGUAUCUGAGAUAUCUAGGGGUUCAGGGGAAGUGGUAAUUGUAAGUACAAUAGAAUUGGAUGGCUGUUUCUGAGUGCUAUAAAAUGAAUUAGAGAAAGGGGAUGAAAGGAUACAAUGAUUAAUUACCAAUUUAAGGCUAAGUGUGAAAGCCAGAGGGCCUAUGGCAGUUUAUAAAGAGCUUCUCAUCUCCCGCAGCCAGAAGUAGAAAAAAGCCAGGAUCAAGCCUAGAACUUAAUUAUAAGGCCAGGAGGGCUCCAGAGAAGGUUAAAAUUUUCAAUCCUAGUAAGUGUGCUAUGCCAAGGUCAGGACCCUGACUAGGAAGGAGUGAGAUGCUGAGACUUGGAAUAAGGAUCUAUGUGUUCCUGCACCAAAAAUCUCGAAUCUUCAGAUUCCCCUCAACCCUCUGGGCCCGCUGCUCCCUAUUAAAAGCUAGUGCUACCCUUGCUUGAAGAGAGUGCAGGAGCUUUUUCUUGCAAGAUAGUGUGUUCUUAACUCAGGGUUGAUCCCAACUCCAUUCCUGGACACUAGGCCAGUAAAUAGAAUGGGGAUCAGCAACUGCAGUCUCCUGGCCAAAUCCAGCCUGCAGUCUAUUUUGGUAAAUAAAGUUUUAGUGGAAUACAACCACAUCCAUUCAAUGACACAUUGCCUAUGGCUGCCUUCAUGCUACAAUGGGAGAACUGAGUAGUCACGACAAAGUCCAUAUGGCCCACAAAACCAAAAAUGUUUACUAUCGGUUUCUUUACAGGCAAAGUUUGCAGACCCUGAACUAGAGUCAAGUACAAUAAAACUUGACAGGAGAAGUGCUGAUUGUGAUAAGGAAGGAAAAAAUAGACACCAAAGAAGACGCAAGACUGAGCCAGCAAGUACUAGCAGGAGUGGAAGAAUAUAUUAUGGGAUGAAUCCUGAAGGGCCUGGGUUAAGAAGGAUGCAAUAUAUAGUUGGAUACUGGAAACUUUAUCUAUGUGGGAGCACUCCCCUGAGAUAGAGAAUUUAGCACUCUUCUUGGUUGACUCUUGGGGUAUCUUUGUUGACUCUUUUCUUUCUUAGAAAUGCAAUGAUCAACUAUGUGGAGGAGAUAUGUGAGAAAUGCCUUAGCAGACGAUGAAGAAAGAGAUCAAAAGGCUCCGAGAAGCAGGAAUGCUAUGGUGGAUAUGCAGUCAGCUCUCUGUAUCUGUGGGUUCAUUCAACCUUGGACUGAAAAUAUUCAGCAUUUGGGAAAAAAGGGGCAUCCCAUACUCAACAUGUACAGACAUUUCUUUCCUUGUCAUGAUUCCCUAGUCAAUACAGUAUAGUGACUAUUUACAUAGCAUUCAUAUGAUAUUAGAUAUUAUAAGUAAUCUAGAGGUGAUUUAAAGUGUAUGGGAGGGUGUGUGUAGGUUAUAUGUAAAUCCUAGGCCAUUUUAUAUCACAGACUUGAGUAUCUAUAGAUUUUGGUAUCCAAGGUAGGUUCUGGAACCAAUCCUUUAUGGAUGCUGAGGGACAACUGUACACUGGUUCUCCCUAUCCAUGGUUUUGCUUUCCACAGUUUGGUUACCCCCAGUCAACUGUAGGCUGAAAAUAUUAAAUAGAAGAUUCCAGAAAUCAAUAAUUCGUAAGAUUUAAAUUGCACAUUGUUCUGAGUAGUGUGAUGAAGUCUUGCACUGUCCCCCCCAGGAUGUGAAUUGUCCUUUUGUCCAGUGGAUACACACUGUCUACACUUCCCUCCAGUUAGCCACUUCACCAUCUCGGUGAUCAGAUGGACUGUCGAGGUAUCGCAGUGCUUGUGUUCAAGGCACCCUCAUUUUACCUAACAAUGGCCCCAAAGCACAAGAGUGGUGAUGCUGGUGAUUCAAAUAUGCCAAAGGGAAGCCAUAAAGUGCUUCCUUUAAGUGAAAAGGUAAAAGUUCUUAAGGAAAAAAAAUUAUAUGCUGAAGUUGCUAAGAUCCAUGGUAAGAACAAAUUUUUUACCUGUGAAAUUGUGAAGAAGGACAAAGAAAUUUAUGCUAGUUUUGUGGUUAUACCUCAAACUGCAAAAGUGCCACAGUGCAUGUAUAGGAAAAAACAUCAUAUAUAUGGGGCUUGGUACUAUUCGUGGUUUCAGGCAUCCACCUGUGGGGUGGCCUUGGAACAUAUUUCCCACAGAUAAUGGGGGCCUACUGUACUUUGUAAGACUGAACAAUCUACCAGUUCACUGUAUUUCACAGGGGCACCCAGAAGGCAACCUUUUACCAAAGCUGUAAGAAAUGAGCUGGUGAGAGGGGCAAUGUGUGAAUGAGAAACUCAAUGGUGGCUACCCCCUCUAGGGGAGGGCUGAUACUGUAUAUUGUGCCGGGGUUCCAUAUAACUGGGAUGGUUCUAUAUAACAGCAAUGGGGUUCUAUAUAACAGCAAUGGGGAUGGUAAGAUCCCAGAUUGAUAGAGGCCGGGUGGUAGACCAUAGGUAGCAGACCAAGAAGGAUGCAAUUAUUAUCAUGAAUGGAAAGGUUGGAGUGGCAGCCAGGAGUCCUCACCCAAAGAGAGCUGUGGAGAUGGUUACUAGACCACAGUGUUAUUAAGGGCAAGAUACAGGGACACAUAAGAAUAAUGCCAACACUUCACUGAAGAGUCAUGGCCAAUUUCCAGAUCUGAGCCUGUCCUUUGACCCAGAACCUGUUGACUGGAGAGGCUGGUUUGAGGAAGGAGCCUGCUAUACUAUGGCAAGUGCAUAUGAUAACAGUUCCCCCAGUCUUUACUCAAAGGGAUCUGUGGCCACUUACUUGGGUAACUGUUCAAUGGGAAAAAGGGCAAUCCUAGAUAUUUCCAGGACUCUUGGGCACAGUCCAAUCUCCACUGGUAUUCAGGAAGUUUGGUUUCAUCCAGGCCCCUUGCUGAAGUGGGAGCUUAUGAAGAGUAAGAAAUAAGAAGUCCAGACCUAGUUGAUUUCACAAGGGAUUCUUUGGCUCCAUGGAUCCACCUGGUGGUCAUUUAUUCAGUUUCUGGAUGUAUAAUUGAAAUCCGUAGUAGUCAGCAGAAUCUUCUCAUUAGUUCCUUGGUUUGUAGGGCCAACCAGUAUGGUCUGUAGUGAAGAAGGCUACAUAGAAGCCUCUGAAACUUUCUUACCAUGGCCAAGAGAAUAAAUUAAAAAAAAAAAUCACAUCCAGGGGAAUGGCCAAGAAAUCUGGCACUCUAAACAUGCUCAACACUACAAGUAGUCCCCAUCAUGUCCCCAUUUAAUUAUCACUCUGUCCCCCUUCAGAACCAGGGGUCCUGAUAAUUGACAGUGGAUCUCCAUGAAGUCAAGUAAUUACUUAAUAUAUCUAUUACCACUACCAAAUGUCCAACCUGCCAGCAACAGAAACCAACACUGAGCUCUUCAACAAACACAGUCCCCAGAGGAGACUAACCAGCCACUUGCUAGCAACUUGAUCACAUCGGAUUCCUUUCAAUCUGGAAAUGGCAGUAAUUGGUUUUGACUGGAAUUGACACAUAUUUCAGAGAUGGCUUUACCUUUCCUACCCACAGGGACUCAGGCAGCAUGACCACCUGUAGGCUUAUAGAUUAUAUGAUAAACUGACAUGGAAUCCUGCAUAACAUGACUGUGGACCACUGGCCCCAUUUUAUAGCAAAAGAAGGACAACAAUGGACAUAUGAUGAUAGGAUAACACCAUCCAGAAACUGCCUAUCUACUAGAGGUUUUUGAAAGCACAGCUAAAGUGCCAGCCUGCAGGUGAUACUGUGUCCGGAAUUGGUGGGUUCUUGGUCUCACUGACUUCAAGAAUGAAGCCGCGGACCCUCGCAGUGAGUGUUACAGUUCUUAAAGGCGGCGUGUCUGGAGUUUGUUCCUUCUGAUGUUCAGAUGUGUUUGGAGUUUCUUCCUUCUGGUGGGUUUGUGGUCUUGCUGGCUCAGGAGUGAAGCUGCAGCCUUCGCGGUGAGUGUUACAGCUCUUAAGGCGGGGCAUCUGGAGUUGUCCGUUCCUCCCGGUGGGUUAGUGGUCUCACCGGCUUCAGGAGUGAAGCUGCAGACCUUGGGGGUGAGUGUUACAGCUCAUAAAGGCAGUGUGGACCCAAAGAGUGAGCAGCAGCAAGAUUUAUUGCAAAGAGUGAAAGAACAAAGCUUCCACAGUGUAGAAGCGGACCCAGCCGGUUGUCACUGCUGGCUCGGGCAGCCUGCUUUUAUUCUCUUAUCUGGCCCCACACACAUCCUGCUGAUUGGUUCAUUUUACAGAGAGCCGAGUGGUCUGUUUUGACAGGGCAGUGAUUGGUGCGUUUACAAUCCCUGAGCUAGACACAAAGGUUCUCCACGUCCCCACUAGAUUAGCUAGAUACAGAGUGUGGACACAAAGGUUCUCCAAGUCCCCACCAGAGUAGCUAGAUACAGAGUGUCCAUUGGUGCAUUCACAAACCCUGAGCUAGACACAGGGUGCUGAUUGGUGUGUUUACAAACCUUGAACUAGACACAGAGUGCCUAUUGGUGUAUUUACAAUCCCUUAGCUAGACAUAAAGGUUCUCUUAAGUCCCCACCAGUCAGGAGCCCAGCUGGCUUCACCCAGUGGAUCCCCCACCUGGGCCGCAGGUGGAGCUGCCUGCCAGUCCCGCGCCAUGCGCCCGCACUCCUCAGCCCUUGGGUGGUCGAUGGGACUGGGUGCCCUGGAGCAGGGGGCAGUGCUCAUUGGGGAGGCUUGGGUGCACAGGAGCCCACGGAGGGAGUGGGAGGCUCAGGCAUGGUGGGCUGCAGGUCCUGAGCCCUGCCCCGAGGGGAGGCAGCUAAGGCCGGCGAGAAAUCCAGCGCAGCGCUGGUGGGCCGGCACUGCUGGGGGACCCAGCACACCCUCUGCAGCCGCUGGCCCUGGUGCUAAGCCCCUCAUUGCCCAGGGCCGGCAGGGAUGGCCGGAGGCUCCGAGUACCGGGCGCGCCGAGUCCACACCCACCCGGAACUCGUGCUGGCCUGCAAGCACUGUGCGUAGCCCCAGUUCCUGCCCCACCUCUCCCUCCACACCUCCCGGCAAGCUGAGGGAGCCGGCUCCGGCCUCAGCCAGCUCAGGAAGGGGCUCCCACAGUGCAGCAGCCGGCUGAACGGCUCAAGUGCCGCCAAAGUGGGAGCCCAGGCAGAGGAGGCGCCGAGAGCGAGCGAGGGCUGUGAGGGCUGCCAGCACGCUGUCACCUCUCAAUAUGUUGUAAGGACAGGGUGGCAUUGAACCAAUGCCCGUUAUAUAGUGCUACGUCUCCAAUAGGUGGGAUUGAUGGCCUCAGGAGACAAUGACUGGGGCCUAGUGUGGUGGCUCACGCCUGUAAUCCCAGCACUCUGGGAGGCCAAGACUGGUGGAUCACUUGAGGCAGGAGUUUGAGACUAACCUGGCCAACAUGGUGAAACCCCAUCUCUACAAAAAAUACAAAAAUUAGCUGGGCAUGGUGGAGUGUGCCUGUAGUCCCAGCUACUCGGGAGGCUGAGGCAGAGAAUCACUCUAACUGGGAGGCGAGGUUGCAGUGAGCCAAGAUUGCGCCACUGCACUCCAGCCAUGUGACAGAGCGAGAAAAGAAAACAAUAAGAAAACAAUGAUUGGAAGUAGGUCUGGCUCCACCAGCAUUACUCCCAAAGACCUGCUUGAGGAAUUUGUGCUUGCUUGUCCUUGCACAUUUAGUCUCUCCUCGGUUCUCAUCUCCAAGGGGAGAAUGCUUCUACGAGGGAACACAAGAAUUCCAUUACACUUUAAGCUACAGCUGCUGUCCAGUUGUGAUCACAGCCACCCAGGUGACUCACUAGGUUGUCUCUUGGUACCCCCUUGCCAGAUCUUCAUUGUAAAUGAGCAAGUGCAGUAGCCAUGGCUGGAACUGGUUAUGCCACCAAGCCAUGCUUUCAUGGUAAGGCAGGGCUUAGGGUCUCCUGGGAUGAAAAUCAUGGUCAUCCCACCAGGUAAGCCCCCCAGACUACAGCAGUGCUGUUUAAAAGUGUGAUAGCAGAGGAGGGAGAUCAUGACACCAGAUGUAGUCACUGAAAGGGGCUGAGAUUUGUCCCAAUAACCUUCCUCUUACCAGUUUCCAAAGAAAAAUAGAUCGUUGAGAAUCCCAUGGAGCUAUUCUCAGAGGGGAUGAAGUUAUUACAUGAAGGAGGGAGGCUAAGGGUGGGGGCUGCAAUGCCAGGGGAGAUACACUCCCCGCAUGUUUCCUUCAGGAUCAAAGCAUUCAUUUCCAAGCAGUCAGAAGCAUUGGUUUCUCACUCCUGCAAAGGUACUCAUCCAUGAGUUCCUCUUGGGAUUGAGUCUUGGCCAAAAGGAGCUACUUCUUCCAAUACCCACUUCCGUGGGUAUUGGAUUUAUGUGAGAAUACAAGGGCCUGGCCCCCCUUGCCUAGAUUAUGAAAGCUCUGAAGGGCCUUUCUGCUUGGUCUUCUCGUGGUAUCUGUUGUGGCCUCUUGCAACCGCAUCACAGUUCUACUUCUCCGUGUGCCCAAUCCUGCUUCCCUCACCCCUCCCAGGUGCUGUUUCUGAGAACAUUCCCCAGUAAAGCUCCUGCAUGUAACUUUCCAUCGCAGAGUCUGGUUCCUGGGAACCUGUCCUGAGAGUGUGACCUGCUUUAAGCAUCUUAUAAAUGCCUCUUAUUUUCCUAAUUGUUAUAAUUCUGGGGUUAAAAACAAACCAGUGAUUAAGUGUAAAUAAUUUUUCCCUCACAAACUGAAAAUUAAAAUAUUCAGUAGUUUCAUUCAGCUGAAAAUAUUUUAUUGGACACAAAGGGCUUUGUUUCUUUGGGGAGUCAACUCCACAUAGCAUCUUCCCUUUAAUGAGCUUUUGGCAUUUCAAUCAUUUAUUUUUAAUCAAGUUCUAAUCCACUGUUUAGUUAGAUAUUUCCAAAGUAUUUUUACAAUGUAGUAUGUUUUUAAAAUUAGGUCUCCAUCUGUCAUUAUAUGGAAUGUGUGUGGGCAUUAGUGAAUGGACUUAUUUUUACCCUCUGAAUGCUAUUAUCUUGCUUAACCAUAUCCCUGGAAAGAAAUGUCAUUACAAGUGAUCUUUUCUUCCAUUUACUCACAAUUAAUUUUGCUUUGUUUUGUGAUCCACAGUUUCAGUUUUCGAAAAACCAAAUCAGCACCUUAACCUGUUUAAAGAGGAGCACAGAAAAUUGUUCUGCAGAAUUUAUGUUCUCUUUCCAUCUCCAAAUUAUUUCAUUGCCACAACAAAGACAUGCUCACUGAGCAUAUCACAGACCUCUUCAUUCUGAAUUUCUUAGAUUGAUAGUUUUGAUGCUCCUUCUAUUAAUACUUAAAUUGAUGAUGGUGUAAGGUGCCAAAAAAUGUAGAAGAUGAUCAAUCUUUUAUUUUAAUCAUCAAUUUCAAAACUAAUCAGAUAAUAUUGGAGCGAUUCCAUUUAAAAUGCAGAUUGGAAAUCAGCAUAUAACAUAUGGAGUAGGAUUUUCUCACAUUUUUUUUUACAGUUAUUUAUUCCAUAUCUUUCUAGUCCUGGCAUAUAUGGGAUUUCAUUUCUAUAGGUUUUGAUGUACUCAUAUGCAUCAUUUUUUAGGGUUUUUAAAAAUUUUAUUAUGGAAUGUUCCAAACAUACAGAAAGUAGAGAGAAUAGGAUAAUGAACCUUUAUGGACUCAUCUCUCAGCUUCAGCAGCUGUCAACAAUUUGCAACUCCUGUUUCAUCUAAUCAUCUCCGCCUCCUCUCUCCCUCCCACCACAUACAAACACACAGACACACACACACACACACACACUUUUUUUUCCUGGAAUAUUUGAAGCAAAUACUAGAUAUCAUAUUAUUUUCUUUGUAAGUUCUUUAUAUACAUUUAAGCAGCCAGACUUUAAAAAAAAACCACCUAGGUAUUAUCAUACCAAACAAAUAACACAAAUAUCAAAAAUAUUCUAAUAUCAAUUCAUAUUCAAAUGUCUUUAAUUGUCUGAAAGUUGUUCUUUUACGGUUGGCCUAUUCGAAUAAUAUUAAUAAUAAUUUCUCUUAGCUAUUUCAGUCUACAUUGUCCCUCCUCCUCACUCCUCAAUUGUUUUCAUGCCAUUGAAUUUGUUAGAAAAAUCAGAUUAUCCUUUAGAUCUACAUCUAGAUUUGCGUAAUUGUUUCUCUGUGAUGUUUUUAACUUGUUCCUCUGUUUUUUUCUAUUUCCUAUAAACUGAUAGUUAGGUCUGAGCCUUAAAUCGAUUAAGGUUAAAAUGCUUUUUAGAUUAUAAUAUUUCUGAUGCUAUGUACUUCCUGUGGAAUCAUACCAUGAACUCAUGACAUCUGUUUGCUCCACUUUUGGUAAUGCCAGGAAUCAGUCCUGGUGAUGUCAGGAUGCUCCAUCCUCUAAAAGUCUCCCACAAGUAUUUCACCUGUGAUUUUAACAUUCACUGACGACCAUUGACAGAUCCAGGGUUUCAUGAGGGAUUGAAAUGGCAAUUUUCUUAAUCUGUCCUUCCUUCUGCAUUAGUUAUCCAUAAUUCUUCGAUAAAGACUUAUCCUCAUCAAGUAUUUGGCUGCCCUGAAUUACAAUUUGUACAAGAAAGGAUAAAUUCUUGAUUCUUUCUAUGUAUUUAUCAAUUUUCAGAGUAAUGAGUUGGUGCUCUCAUAAGUAAGUUUUAAAAAAGUAUCAUUAUGAACUCAUUGAUUUUUAUGUUUAAUGAUUUAACGGAGAGUGAUUAUUAUUCUUUUGGGUAGCCGCAUUGUGUCAUUUUGGGAUCUUUUUCAUUUGCUUCCUUUUGACGUGACCUAUUUAGUCUUUAGUAGCUUCUUGCUUUCCUGCAUCUCAAAAUGUCCCAGGCUCAUCUCGUACAUUUCAGAUUCCAUGUAGAUUCCCAAAAGGUGACUUACUGAGCCAAAAGGAAUAAGUAUUUUUAAGGUAGUUUGACUUAGUGGAAACAGUAUGGUCUUUGAAAGUAGGUAGGUCAGGGUUACAGUCUCAGCUCCAUUGCUUAUGAGCUCUGGGGUUUAGAAAAGGCUUAACCUCCCAAAAUGAUGAUAAUAGGAACUCCUAUUAGGAAGAGAAAGGUAAUAACAGAAAAUUAUUUUACUCUAGUGUAAGUGGAAAAAGCAGAGUUCACAAUGAUAUAAAAUGCAUAAAGAAACUAUUGUGAUCAAAUAUGCUGCAAUGUUGAUGGCAUCAUCUGAUGGUGGGAAUACAGGUUAUAUUUCUCUUUUUUAUGUCUUAUACUGUAUUUUUCUACAUAACAAAGAAUAUAAAAAAAAAAGAUAAGUUUGUUCAAAGAAAAAUAAGCCUGUACUGCAAAUCCUAUAGUGUUGAUUAAAAUUCAUUUAAGAUAUGAUUCAUGGCAUAUACCUUUUGUAUCUCUGAUGGUCAAUUGAAUCCACUUGUCCUUUAACAAAAUUUAAUGCAAAUUCUGUAAUAAAGAAAAAUAUUGAUGUAAGUAUACUCUGCCAUCUGCUUCCUUUCUCUAUGCCAUGCCAUAUUGAUUUCAAUAGACCAGGUCAAAACUGAGUGUUUCCUGCUUUCAAGGUUGACCUCUGAAGGUCUCCUACUGUUUCGUCUCCUUGCUCCCUGGGGAGAGCCGCUAAGUCUUUCGUUGACAGCUGAAGGCAGGAUAAAAUAAAAUCUCCAUUUGACAUGCUUAUAAAUCAGUUUUCCUAUGGGACAAGAUUGUUGGUGUUGGGUGCUCAUUGAAAAUAGUCUUACUGAUCAGAAAACUAAGACAAUUGGUUCUUUAUUCACCUGAGGAUUCAGAUUGACUAAUCGAAGAUGAAUUCAUCUUGUAAUCUUUUAAAAAUAUGACAAAUGAUUAAAAAAACUUUUGUGGAAGAUGUCUGCAGAAGUUUCUAAUUUAAGAUUCAAUCUUAUUUUCAGAAAUGAUAUUUUGAUCUUGGGCUUGAGGGUCAUAAUUUCCUCUUUAAAAUGGACAUUAAAAUUCAGCACACAUUUGGAGUACAAGGAAGGGUGAUGAUCACAGAUAAAUUUUUCUUAUAAUUUUUUUCUAUUUGAAUAUAUCUUAUUUCAAAAGAGAAUUCUUGCUUUUAAUUUUGGAUACAGUGUAGGCUAAAUCCAACACUGUGGCAUCUUGACUACGGUGGCCUGCUCAAUUAAUUCUGAACAGUAAAUUGCCUUUGACAGGUCUUCAGGUAGCUGGGUAAGAAGCGGCAAGGAAAACAAAGGGUCCUGGUAAUUGAAAACAACUGGUAAGGAUUGUUUUCUUUUUCUUUUCCUUCAUGUUCUUCCUAAUUGAUGUGCUGAUUUGUAUAUGAACCUACAGAUGAGUCAAACCUAAGCAUUCAGCAUUGGGAGCCCUGUCACUAAAACUGCAGCCUCAUUCAACAACACAUCCUUAUCGAGCACUUGCAGGUACUUCAUUGAAUGUUAGAAAUGCAUUGAUGAUGGAGACACAGCACCGGCUCACGAGGACCUUCCAGCCUAGGCAGCAGGACUGGACAUACGCACUUUGGUAGAUUUAUUUUUAGAAAUUGGCUUAUGCAGGUGUGGGGCUGGCAAGUCUAACAACUGCAGGGCAGGUCAGGAGGCUGGAGACCCAGGGAAGAGUUGAUGCUGCAGUCUAGUCUGAAGGCAGUGCAGAGGCAGAAUUCCCUCUUUCUCGGAGGAUCUCAGGCUUUUUCUCCUAAGUCCUUCAACCAAGUGGAUGAGGCCACCCGCAUUAGAGAAGCUCUCUGGAUUCUGAAGACCAGGGCUCCAAUUCACAGUGUCCAUUAAUCCAGGAGCCACAAAGGCAAGUGCUUAUUUGCAUAGAAAUAGAAUGCUAAUCAGGUGCAGACAAAGCUCAUCAGAAUCAAGACAGCUGUCAGGACAACACCCUUCUGAAGGUGCCCAGACAAGGCGAGCAGAAGCAGGAGAAAUUAAAUUUAGCUGGAGUAGUGGAGUGCUAUCAGUUAUCGGCGGCCCCAGGCACAUUAAAUGGCAUCUGGCUUCUGAGUGCUUAGCAGGGGAGCUCUUAUCGCUCCAGUCCUGGAAUUUGGAACCAUUUUCUGUUAGAGUAGAGGGAUUAAAAGCAAUGUCUGGGCCUGAUGGACAGUGGUGAACAGCCAGCCACAUGGUGCUGUUUAUUGUUGGUGGAUAAGGAGUCUUGGCCGAGUGAAGCCAGGAGGCUGAGGUAGGGAGAUUCUGAAUCACCAGCAGACUACCAAGGUCACGCAGGAAAGUCUGGCCGACUUCUCUGUAGCUAAGUUUUCAUCUUCAUUUUGUGAACAGUUAUCAUCUGACUCAUUAUUAGAAUAAAAUGCAAUAAGGUGGCAACAGCCCUUUGGAAAAUUAUAAAUACCCUUGACAUGAGUUUGAACAGUGAUCAUCCACUUAGAUGAGAAUUUUCUUCUACCUCUGUUACCCAUGAGACAGCAAGACCAGCACCUCUUCUCCCUCCUCUUCCUGCUCAGCUGACUCAAGGUGAAGACAACAAGGAUGAAGCCCUUCAGGAUGAUCCACUUCUACUUAGUGAAUAGGACGUAGAUUUUCUUUUCUGUGUGAUUGUCUCAAUAACAUUUUCUUUUCUCUAGUUUAUUGUCAAGAAUGCAGUAUAUAAUAUAUAUAAAGUAUAAAAUAUGUGGUUAACUGACUGGUUGUGUUACUGGUAAGGCUUUGGUCAACAGUAGGCUAUUAGUUAAGUUAUUGGUGAGUUAAAAGUUAUACGUGGAUUUUCUAGUGUGCAGAGGGUUAGCCCCUUAGCCUCCAUGUUGUUCAAGGGUGAAUUGUGGUGUGAAAGUUGUCAUAACAAAAAUGGAGUUCCUCGUGUCAAACCCUAGCAAAUGGAGCUGGGGAAGGCCAUGGAGGGCUCUCAUGCACAAUUUUCCUGAUAAUGGGAACUAUCACAAGAAAUGUUUUCAAACUGCAGCUUACUACAUGAGUCACUCAGGGCAAGUUAGCAGCACAAGGACGGCUAGCCACUUAUACAAGAACACCUGCUUGUUUCAAAAACUGUCUCAUAAGCCCAGUUUAAAACUACAAGGGCUUAAACAUAACUCCAAGAUUACAAGUCCAACCUAGCAACUGCUGACACUUGUCAAUCAGAAUUUGCCAGCUCUCGUUAGAUGAUGCCAACACCAACGAGCUUUCUUUCAAAACAACUUGUAUACCCUCCUCUCUCCCUAGUAAAACUCUAACUUUCCUUUGUUUUCUGGACAUACCAGAGACCACACUGGUCUCUGUAUCUGUCCGAAAUUGUAAUCCUAUUUCUUUGUUUAUUCCUAAAUAAAUCCUUUUUGCUUGGA